RNAcentral lists this unclassified non-coding RNA (229 nucleotides) under Hevea brasiliensis (rubber tree). The record is from RNAcentral. Lineage: Eukaryota; Viridiplantae; Streptophyta; Magnoliopsida; Malpighiales; Euphorbiaceae.
AUUUGGACAUGUGAUUACUCAUGAAGGAGUUCAAGAUGAUCAAUCAAAAAUCUCCGUAGUGUUGGAUUGGCCUUCACCUUCCACCAUACGUGGGUUGAGGGGAUUCUUGCGUCUUAUAGGCUAUUAUCGAAAAUUUGUGCAGCAUUAUGGAGUGAUUGCUGCACCCUUGACAGCAAUGUUACGGAAAAUUUCAUUUGAAUGGACUAAUCAGUCUCGGCAAGCAUUUGAG